Molecule: non-coding RNA, 12464 nt
Organism: Zootoca vivipara (common lizard)
Lineage: Eukaryota; Metazoa; Chordata; Lepidosauria; Squamata; Lacertidae
Source: RefSeq, a predicted model, not a curated record
CCUCCCCUCCCCUCCCUUUCCACCCUGUCAGCCCAUCCCUCCCCUCCCUCCCUCUCCCCUCCUCUCCUCGCCAUUCAUCGCUUCAGCCAAGUUUCUCCGGUUUAACCUCUUUCUCUCCCGGCAGCCACAGCCAAGCAGAUGUGCGAGGCAGGCUCGCCGAGGAGUCUGCCUGGAAGCAUCCCUCUGCAACUGGAGAAAGACGAGGCUGAAAAUAAAGUUGAUGUUUGACUGUAAGGACAAUAGAUGGACAGGCCAGCUUUGCUUGCUUGCUUUUUUACAGGGCACACAUGCGAUAUAUAUAUAUUUUAAUACAGUAUUGUACACUGUUCUGAUCGGGCGAAAGGGGGGGGGCAGAUCUUAAAUCAAGGAUAUUCAAAUCCUGUUCUGAGCGCUGUAAAGCCCCAAAGGAGGAAAGCUUUGCAUAAUUGCACCAUAUAAGCAAAAAUAAGUCCUGGUGUUUUGCAUUGCGAUUUUUUUUUCUCUGGAAUAGUUAAUGCACACCUUUGAUGUGUUGGGUUCAAUGUUCAUUCGCAGACUCCAACCAUGAGUGUGUGGAAGGUAAUAGGACUCCAAUCAACAAAUUUAAACACAUUUUAAAUUAUGCUGAAUUUUAUUAUUUAAUAUCUGUUAUGUGUAUGUUGUGUUUGAAGCCUUUCAAGUCUGCCUCUAAGCUUUCAAAUGGGAAACACACGACCCAGCUAAUAAUGUGAGGUCAAGAAGGGCACGGGGUUGUCUGAUAUCCUAUUUUGAAACAUUCUUUCAAGGUUUUCUGUCAAGGGUGCCCCAGUAUUACAGAACCUGGACCCAAGGUCUUGGUGAGGUACAAAAGUCCAUCAGGAUGGGUGAGGAAACAUAAAUGGGAGAGACUCAGAAUAUGAAGAAGACUUCAUGUCGCAUAGGUUUGGCAGGUGUGGCUGUUGAGGGGUAAGGACCAGAACCGAACUUGGAAGCGCCUCCAACUACAGCUGAACAAACUAGGAAAUUAAGGUCUCUGUUUGUCCAGACCCGAUUACUAACAAAUAGCAAUAGAUUUGGUUGAGUUGCAUUAUUUCCUAGAACUUUCAAAAGAAAAGACCAUACCUAAAUAUGCUCUCAGCUAUUGAAAUAAAAAUGUGGCCCAGAUCCCUUUUAAAAUGUGUCAAGUAGUUGUUUUCAACUGUUUUAACUAUUUUAUUCUUUGAUGGUUUCUCUAUUUUACAGCCAGGUGAUGUAUAAAUUUUAGAAAAUAAACGAGAUCCAGAGGUACAUGUGUAUCGGUUCUGAGUGCACCUCAUAGUUUCCGUCUAUUUCAGCACUUUCCAGCUGUUCAGCUUUCUCAAGAAUUUCUGGAAAGUAAACUAACAGAUAACUUCUAUUAUUUUUCAGGUUACGAAGGAGACACACUAGAUGUGGCUCCUCCUAAGCUUUCCGAACUGGUCCUUUGGUCAAAUGCAGAGUUCCACUGUGAGGGGAGGAACACAGACAAAAGGGCAAGGUAAGGUUUUUUAGGACCAAUCCCUUGUCUUCCUCUAGAAUCGAUUAAUAUGUUUAAAAGUAAGUACCAGCUCUAUGUUACAGUGAUGUCUGCAAAUGAGACAUAAAGGGUCACAGUCUUAACCCCACAAUAUGGGAAGCCCUUGCAGCGCGGGUGGCACUGUGGUCUAAACCACUAAGCCUCUUGGCUUAGUUUGAAUCCGUGUGACGGGGUGAGCUCCCAUUGCUCUGUCCCAGCUUCUGCCAACCUAGCAUACCAAUGCAAGUAAAUAAAUAGGUACCACUAUAGUGGGAAGGUAAAUAAUGUUUCUGUGCGCUUUGGCACUCAUCACGGUCCUCCAUGCGCCAGAAGCGGUUUAGUCAUGCUGGCCACAUGACCCGGAAAGGUGUCUGCAGACAAAUGCCGGCUUCCUCAGCCUGAAAAGCGAGAUGAGCGCCGCACCCCAUAGUCGCCUUUGACUGGACUUAACAGUUCAGGGGUCCUUUACCUUUACUUGAUCCAGCAGGCUCACCUUAUGUUCUUAAACUUUUAUUAUUCAGGUGCCAAUAACAGCCAUAUGCAUUAUCAUUCUCACCAGUGAUACCUCAUCUAUAAAAGAAAAUCUUUUAGUUUUCCCCCUGCACAGCUGGUGGAGAAAUGUGAGCUUGCAAGCAUUUUAUAAUGAUGCACACAUACAGUGAGACAGAUGUACAGUGUACAUGUUGUAACUUGGAAGCAGAUUCAAUACAGAUAAUUUUUGUCAAAGAAUCCUGGGCACUGUCACUUCCCCCUCACAGUUACAAUUCCCAGCAACCCUUAAAAACAACAGUGCCCAGAAUUCUUUGAAGGAAAUAAUGUGCUUUAAAUGUAUUUUAAAUUCUUGAGGUUUUAAAUUUUGGAGUUUUGAUUUGUUUUGAAUUUUGUAUAGUGUGUAUGUUAUUGUAGUAAGCCUCUUUGAGACCAACAUGAUUUAAAGUGUGGUGCGUAUUUUAAAACUAAAAUGGUGUGUACGCAGCCUAAGUCAUGAAGAGAGAAAAUUGCUUUCCACAGUCUCAUACUCUAGGAAGUGCCUGGGUCAGUCACUGUCAUUAGGAUUUCCAUGCUGAUACAUGGUGGGAAUACUUUAAUGAAAGCUUUCCUAAUGCUUAGCAUGUUUGGUGGCUGUCUGGGUCAAUUUGACCAGAGGGUUUGUGUUAAAUCAAAAUGUUAUUGCAUUGGAAAUAAAGCUUAUAAAUCUGCUUAAAGGCUGGAGGGUCAGUAUAGCAGUCUGACUCAUCAAACACCAACUAACAACUGUCAUCACAGGGUUUUUGUUCCCACUACGUGUGUAAGGGUCUCUGUCUGCCUUUCAAUGUUAUCAAACAGCUGUCUUUGCACAAGUGAUUUCUCUUUGAAAACUCUUUGAUAAGACUACGACAUAUGAAGAGAAGCUGUGGUAGGAUAUAAGCAGGAUCCAAAUUCAAUUUUGUAUAGAUUGCAGCUUUCACUCUGAGAUGUAAUGAAGACAGACGUAUUGCACUUGAGGAAGAAGAAAACCUCCCAAUAAACAUUCAUCAAGGCGUAGGGUCUUGCAGUACAGAUAGUCCUUUCACAAAGAAUACAAAUUUGCCCUGUAAAAAAGGCACCGCUUCCCAAAUGCCAUGUUUAUAGACUUCACUAGCAAGGCAUAAGCUUAGUGAAACUUUUUAAUGAUCCUUUCUUAAUAAUUGUAGUUUUCUGCAACAAAUGUACAUUUGCUUCUCAAACAUCUCCCAUCCAGAUUUUAUUUCUGUAGGAUGAAAUUCUAUUUCUCUACUACACAAACCAUAGUAUUUGUACCUGUGAAAAUUCUGUGAUCAAAUAGUGCCACUGAUGUCUUUGGUGAUGGAAGUCAAGUACCUGCACCAUUAUUUUGAAUUUGUUGUUAUGUGACAUCACGAGUACUGCCAUCCUUAUUUAUACAGGUAUGUUGUCAAGGAACCAUGACCAACUGCAGCUCCCUGUUAAAUGCCUGAUUUGUGUGCUAUCAAUAUAGGCAUUUGUACAAUUAUUUAUUUAUUUGAAUACCCUCCUGCCCAGCACGCAUGCCCUGGGCACCAGCAACUGACGCUAUGCUACUGGUCAGAUCAGCUGGAAAAUCUCCCAGCUGGAAAACCAUUGAAUCCAUCAACCUCCAAAGGUGUGCUAUCCUAACAGGUCCCCUGCGUAUGCAGAGGAGAAAAGGUGCUGAAAGUCUAAAACUCUGUGUGAAAUGACCCUCAGCUUCCAAUGGGUAGGUGAGGGUUUGAGCUCUGACAUCACGAGGCAACAGGUCCCAUGAAAUACCUCAAACUUCUCUUCAAGCCCCUAUAUAAAAGAUGUUUAAUGGCACGCAGUAUUUCUCGUAAUUCAGAAGUGGGUGCUGGUUUAGCCCCUGCUUCAGCUUUGGUGGCUUUUUAAAUAUUUUGCCUAGACUGCCAAAAUACCUAACACUGACUGUCAUUCUGGGUAGUGCCUAUGAACAAAACCCCCACUGUUAAGUAGCUGUUUUGCACUGUCACAAGAUUUGCAUUUUGACAUUCAGUCACAAUAGCUGGCUGCAUUAUAUGAUUAUUUGGAGGUUGCAUAGAAAACAUGAUGUACUGCCUCACUGAAAUCAAUGAGAACUUUGCCAGUUAUUCCAUAGGAUGACUUAAGUUUAGUUGGCACAUAACAUUUAAUGAAAUAUAAAUGAGAAACGGCUUUCAAUUAACAGCAAUACCUCAUCCUCUUCCACUGUCAUUUCACUAGAUCUCAGUGUUCUUCUUGACUAUAAUCCUACAUUGGCUCUAAUAUUCAUUCAAAAACUACAUGCAGUAGUAGCCUUCCACUAAUGUACUUACAUUUGUAUCUCCAUGGGGUUUCAUUUUGCUUGCCUUGUCAUUCAGCAUGCCUAAGCUACCUUUAUGCAAGCUUACGCAUUGCUAUGAAAUUGGUUUCAUUUACGUGUUGACUCACCAACCCAUCUAUCAUUUCAACCAGCUAUUUCCAACAGCACUAUUACCACAUAGACUCACUGGGAAGUAUAAAAGCAUAGAUGAUUACAAUUUUUCUGCAGUUAAAAAUAGACAAAACAGAGUUGUUUAUAACUGGCUCUUUUCACCAUCUUAGUCUCUUAACUGACUCAUCCUUAAAAUCCAGUCUAGGUUCACAUUGUAAAGCCCAUUUUGUGGAUAGUCAGGUUUACUUUGCUUCCUUCUUAUAUAGUGAUUGUCGGCCAAUCAAAAUCUCUUAUAAAUAACUGGAAAUGAUUCUGCAAUCUUUGCCUUUCCUCUUGUCAUUCAUGUCCCAUUCCCAUUUGAUGAUUGCAACAGGUAGCCUGUUAAAUUGCCAAUUGAUCGGAUUACCAACCUCUCUUUGUAGUCAAAGAUGUUUCUCUACUAGGAAAUAAUAGUGUAUUUCAAUGUUAUAUAGAGAUGUGAAGAAAACAGGGAACAAAUGUGUUUUCUACUCCUUCUCUGCAUCUAUUGCAUCAUAAGGUAAAGGUAAAGGGACCCCUGACCAUUAGAUCCAGUCGUGACCAACUCUGGGGUUGCAGCGCUCAUCUCGCGUUAUUGGCCGAGGGAGCCGGCGUACAGCUUCCAGGUCAUAUGGCCAGCAUGACAAAGCCACUUCUGGUGAACCAGAGCAGCGCACGGAAACGCCAUCUACCUUCCCGCUGGAGCAGGACCUAUUUAUCUACCGGUACUUGCACUUUGAUGUGCUUUCGAACUGCUAGGUUGCAGGAGCAGGGACCGAGCAAUGGGAGCUCACCCCGUCACAGGGAUUCGAACUGCCGACCUUCUGAUCGACAAACCCUAGGCUCUGUGGUUUAACCCACAGUGCCACCCACGUCCCUCUAUUGCAUCAUGCAAACAGAGAAUAGAAGUUUUUGCGUUUCUCCAUGUGUGAUCUUAGAGGCACACAUAUAUCAUGGCAUAUACUGUACCAUAUCUGCAAACUAGAUUGCCAUGGAUCUAUCUAUCUAUCUAUAAACCUAUAAACAAUGAACAAUUUGAGUGAUUGGCUGCAAUAUGUUACCUGUAAAUGGUGACAGUCAAAAGGCCCCCUGGCUAGGGGUGACUCACGCAGCUAGUACAAAACUUUCUGUAGCUCCAACAGACACUACAGACCACCAUUUCAGAGCAAUGCUAAUAGCUGUUCUUUGCUUGUGUAGAAGUCAAAGAACUUUUACACAGGAAUUACAGUAUUGGCAGUCUAUAGGAAUGCAAUUUGUCCCUAUUUUACAGGAUAUUACAUGGCUUUCUAUCACAAAUGAACAACUAAUCUUCAUCAGUUAGAGCACAAAAUAAACGUAAGCUGUUUCCAGCUUUGCUACUGUAUCUUGCAAAAAGAGUUCAGCUCUUCUACCUUAUGGGAGGGUAUUUUUAACAGACAUGUGGUACCACUUAGUGUCACCCAGGGAUCACAACAAGGUGCCUGAAGGCUCUAGUGUGCCCACCAGUACCUUCUAUCUCUUCAAAAUGAGCCCACAAUGCACAAGAAAUCAUUUGUUCUUCCUGCUUAGUUCCUGUUUGCAGUACUCCUACACUGAACACACACACCCUUAAACAAGUCCACAUUUUAUUGGAUGCUGGGAUUGGGCACCCACCCUCUAAUCUGUUUUGAACAGAGCUUCUCUCUGUGAAUGAAUGUGGCCGUAGAUGGUAUAGGUGUCUUUCUCCCUAUUGAUGGGAUGCCUUAUGGGAGGCAUGUCACCAUGAUGUGGUCAUUCUGUACCUUUUUCUGCUCUUUUAUAUUAUCCAAUACUUUCACAGCACCCAUUUUGUGUAUUGCCACACAACGUGGCAGCCAUUUUGUGACUGGCAUCCAUGACACUGACUCAUAUUCUAUCUAUAGGCUCCUGCUGGCCCCCAAAGGUUGACAUGCAAAGUCCUAAUUGUAAGCAAUAGCUGGCAUGCAGUGCAAUCCUAUGCAUGAAGUAAAGUUCAUUGUGUUCAGGUGGACUUUUGUAUAUUCAACGACCAAUGCUGCAGUGAGCCAUCAACAGGCUGGCUACAGGGGGAAGAUAGCUGGUGUUAUUUCUAGCCCUUGCUAAAUUCAUGAAUUUUUGAAAUUACACAAAUUCCAAUGUUUUACUGAUUCUAGAAGUUGGGGAGGGCUUGCAAAAACACAGUAUCUCUGUCGCUGAUUUAAACCUGCAUUAUGCUUAGACUAGAAAGAUCAUGCCUGUCCUUUUUAAUAUGAAACAUGUACAUGGGAAUACAGCAAUAUCCAGAGAAAUAAAUGGAUUGGUUUUGCACAUCUUUCUGAUCCAAGCUGGAUAUGGGAAUUCAAUAGCAAUUUUGUCUUUAAGAUGUUGCCACAAACUUUUUGAUGAUGAAAGACAUGGGCUGAGAUCUAAGACCAGACAGCAAUAGAGACUACUUUACAACAUUCUUGCAUUUGAAGUGUUAGAGUAAGAGUACUGCUACUGUUUGUUUGAACAAGGAAAUGUACGAAAGAAAAGAUCAUGAAUUAAAACAACAAAUGUCUUGUGUGAAAUAUAUUUUCUCAGUAAUGAUUAUGUGUUAAGUUCUUUGAAAAAUCCAUUUUAAUACCUGAAAUUUUUGAAACAAUUAUUGAUUUCUUUACUAGAAAUUUUAAUGUUCUUGCCAGCAAAAUGUUUCCUUCAAAACCUUUGGAUACUAUCUUUUUCCUCUUUCCAGUAGGUAAACAUACAGCAAAAAUCCCAUUGUCAUUCAAGGUCAUCUUCACUGGUAUAACCUGUUUACAUCCUAAAUAUGGCUAAAGUUAAGCAUUUUGUUAAUUGACCUCAAUGGGAGAGUUAAGUAUAUUACAACCUCUCAUUGUAAUCCAGAGGAUUUAAACCUGAGCUAGACAUGGUUCUUGAUCUUAUCUGGAGAACUUAAUACUCUGCUUUUCAGUCAGCCAUGCUCCUAGAGCAGUUUACAAAUAAUUAAGAACCCAAAUACAGACAUAUAAUGAAGUUGUUAACAAUAAAAACAAUGCUACAGUAGAGCAGAUAAAAUUCCAGUGUUUAAUUAAACACAUUGAAACUGAUAGAUCUAAAAGGCAAAUAAAAUGUUCUUCACCUAGUGGUGAAAGAAAGAGGGCAUAAAUUUCAAACAGAGGGAGCCACAAUGGAAAAGGCCCAGUCAUUAGGGGAGGUGUACAAUUGCAGCCUAAAAUAAAUGAUCCCACACCUCCUCCCGUCUUCCCUGGAAACAGGCAGCUAGACUGGUGACUGGGAGCGGCCACCGAGACCACCGGUCUUGAAAGAUCUACAUUGGCUCCCAGUACGUUUCCGAGCACAAUUCAAAGUUUUGGUGCUGACCUUUAAAGCCCUAAACGGCCUGGGCCCAGAAUACCUGAAGGAGCGUCUCCACCCCCAUCAUUCUGCCUGGACACUGAGGUCCAGUGCCGAGGGCCUUCUGGCGGUUCCCUCGCUGCGAGAAGCCAAGUUACAGGCAGAGGGCCUUCCUGGUAGUGGCACCCAUCCUGUGGAACGCCCUCCCACCAGAUGUCAAAGAGAAAAACAACUACCAGACUUUUAGAAGACAUCUGAAGGCAGCCCUGUUUAGGGAAGCUUUUAAUGUUUAAUAGAUUAUUAUAUUUUAAUAUUCUGUUGGAAGCCGCCCAGAGUGCCCGGGGAAACCCAGCCAGAUGGGCGGGGUAUUAUUCAUUCAUUCAUUUAUUAUUUUGCGCCCCAGCUCCUCCACUUAGCAGCAAAGCCACCCACAACCAAUUGCCCCGGGGGGGGGAGUGACCUUGUUGCUCCCCCCUUUUCGUGCCACCCACUUCAGGGUUGUAUCACCAGGGUUGGCCUGUCAGUAGUACCCACUAUCAACAGCAGCCCACUGGAAACUAGCCACAGUUGUGACUAAGUUCUUGUUCUUUUCCAGGUACAGCAGAAAAGGAUGUGAGAGGCUGAGGUUGCCUCUUCAUCUCUAGGCUUGCCAUAACUCAGGAAAAUUCCUGAAAUGUCUUGGUUUUCAGGUGUAAAAAUAGCAUGGGGGGAGGAUUUUGCUGAAUCAGCAAAGUGUCAGGGAAAACCCGGAUGUAUGGAAAUGCAAUGGAAAACAGCUCCAAAAGCUUAAAAUCACUAUUUUGGGAGGAAGUUUCUCUAAAAAAGCUCAACAAUUUCGAUUUGUUCUUUAAAAAACCCACAAAGCUCAGUAAAGACUGGAAUGCAGUGUUUACACGGACGAUAUUUUAAAUUAAAUCCACUGAACCUCUAUUGCUUGGUUAUCCAGAUUUUUAGCACAACUUAUAUUUGAUGGUCAGAGAAAGGAAUAACAUUUUAAAUAUUAAUAAAGUAGCUAAAACAUGCUAUUUAAAAUUGAACAUAUUAAGCAACAAACAUACUGCACAAAGAUUGACAGGCAAUCAGUCAAGCAUUAAUAAUGAAUGCUUAUGCACAUUAAAAGGUCCUACAUCAGUUCCAAAUAGCAAAACCCAGAGGGAUUUCACCAAACCAUAUCAAGACAAUAAAAGCCCACCCCCUACCCCACAUGUGCAUGAACAAAUAAUUUCAAACUGGUUUUAGGCUUAAGUGGUUCUCCUCAAAAUCAGGUAUAAAAACAGUGUAACGCAAUAUUUCGCUAUGUAUGUUCUGUUGUCAAUUCAGAAAGGUGUUUUAAAAUAUUGUGAUAAAGUAUAACAUAAAAACACCAAUAAUUUUUUUAAGGGAAGAAAUAGGAAAGGUUUACUUACCCCUAGGAUAUUACCAUACUUGGCAGCAUUGCGUACAAUUCCACUUAUAAUGAUAGAACUGAAUAGUCAUCACUUUUAAUGGAUCAAAUCUACGCAGUCCAUCAGCAAUGCUGUUAAAUCUAAUCAGAAGUUGGGUUGUAAAAUUAAUGGUCCUGUAUUCUCUCUAAAAAGGGGGUAUUCUAAUAAAUUUGGAUCAGCACCAUAUUUCGCCUCUCCCCCAGCAUCGGUGAUGGUAAAUUUCAAUAGCGUUUUAGGGCUCAGCUUAAGCAAACAUCCAAUAGAGUGACUAACGAGAGGGUUGGAUCAGAACAAGUAGUGUUUCUAUGAUAUAUAUUAAUCAGGUUUAUAGUCCAACAAAAUGAGUGAAUAUUAAACUUAAUCUCUUAAAAUAUUAUCAGCCAAAGUAAAAUAAAAAAGGCCAGGUCCUGAAAAUAAUUAGUAUAACGAAUUCUCUGGCUGAAAAAAUUGUGGCAUAUCAUUUGGACAAUGGACUUCGACUUGGGCAAACGGAACUUGCACUUCCUCUCCUCCUUCUUGCAGUGCUCCACCAGAAGUUGCUCCAGUAGGUUGUGGAACUUUCUGGAGCAGAUUGAGCGGAAGGGACAUACAGGGGCUGAAGUGGGAGAAGGCGAAGUGCUGUCAUAUCCAUCGGUGUGACGUUGGAACUCACCCUAAAUUUUAAGCCUCAGUCCUACUUCAUGCCCCGUAGCCGCCCUGUCCUUCGCAGAGAGACGGAGGGAGGAAAGUUACUCGCAGCGGCUGAGGGAGAGGAGGAGGCGGCGACAGCGGCAGAGCCAUUGGGCUUAGUGGCUCGUUGCACUCUGCUUGGGCGCCCCUGAGAGGCCGGCGCCCUGGCGCAACGAGCCACUAGCCCCUAUGGGAAGGACGCCUCUGAUUGAGAGUCAAGUGGCCAGGCCUUGAAUGACUUCUGUGGUAUGAUGGCUAAUUAUAAGAGAAUAUAAUAUUGAUGAAAAUUAACAAAAGAAAAUGAAAAUAAAUAGUGUGCUAGAUAGACUAAGUGGUAGGUGCAUGAUGGGGUGGCCGGAAGUCGUUAGAAGAACGUAUUGUGGUGUGUAAUAACAAAUAUUACCAUUUUCUUUUCUUUCUUCUGGAUAAUCCUUUUGUUUGUCAUUUCUUUUUAAUCUCAAUAAAGCAUAAAAAAGAGAGUGUGCAAAAAAGAGAUAGUAUACAACAAAUCAGUAUAUAGAUUAGUUCCACUUUCCCACAAAUAUCACUAGUAUGGUUUUAUUUGUACGUUUCUGGGACAGAACCUACCGGUAUGUGUUUUUACCUAUGUAUGUCACAAUGUACAUUGACACUGUUCUAGAAAUACCCCCCCCCCCUGUUAAUAGUACUGAUUAUUUUAAUAAAAGAAGUGAAAACUUGCUGAAAGGCACAGCAGAUAUAGUAAGUCAUAUGCAGAAUUUGGAAUUUGCUAAAAUUCCAAGUCAUGCCAAACUCUUCGAGACCCAUUUCAGUAAAGCACUCAAUUUCCAAAGGGAUGAUUUGUGAGCCGUAAAGGGCACAAUUCUGGCUCGCUUCUACUCUUGUGGAGGGUGGAGAACUUGAACAUUGACCUGCGUUUGAUUUCCAUGCAGUUGCAGCCCAAGCUGAGUAGGCGGAUCUGCGGGGGAAUUUCAUAUUAUCAGACAGAUUUCCAAGGGAUAAGAUGAGAUGAGACAAGAGAAAAGGUGUAGGCAAGUUGGCCUUCUAUUUCCAGCAACCAGCAGAACCACCAUGCUGAUUGCUGUAAUCUGCUCAGCUCCCAGCAUGCAAUCUGAUACUAUAAGUACACCCUAGCACUUUCGUCCCUCCAGGUUGCAGACUGACUCUCAGGGUUGCUGGGCUGCAGCCCUGUGUGUUUGUUCUCGUAAGGAAGUAGGGUAGGUUAGGAGAUAGGUGGCAUGGCUUAAUGACAUGGAGGGCUCUUGCCUUGUCACACCAACCUAGCAUGCAUUAACAUUGUUUGAUAGGGGUUUUGAAGGAAUUGUGUGCAUUCAAGACCAGCAGUGUGUCUGCAUGUGUUUGGAGCCUCUGCAAACUGUUAUAAAUACUAGUGGAGUGUGCAACCCACAAGAGUAGGGUCCCCAAACUUAGGCCUGAGGGCCAGAUACGGCCCAAUCGCCUUCUAAAUCUGGCCCGCAGACGGUCCGGGAAUCAGCAUGUUUUUACAUGAGUAGAAUGUCUCCUUUUAUUUAAAAUGCAUCUCUGGGUUAUUUGUGGGGCAUAGGAAUUCAUUCAUAUAUUUUUUCCCCAAAAUAUAGUCCAGCCCCCCACAAGGUCUGAGGGACAGUGGACCGGCCCCCUGCUGAAAAAGUUUGCUGACCCCUGCACAAGAGUCACACUGGGUUUCUUUUCCCCCUUCUCUUGUGGACUCAUAUGUGCACAGACAGCACUCAUAUAUGUUCAUAUACACACUGCUGAGAGGUUUAGGAUCUUUGGCAUCCCUGUCUGCUAUCUGCCUUCAAAUCACCUUACUGUUGUGUGGAUGGAGCCUACUGAGUAGUUGAGUAUCCUGUACUUAGCAACUAAAUUUGCAUGUGUUAAUGUUUUAUGUCAGAUGUGGGUGAAUUCAGGAUAUGCCCAAAUGACUUUCUGAAAGGAGCUGGAAUCUGGCUUGUUCCAGGGUCACCAAAGCUCAUCAUAGAGAGUCUUAUGCCAUAUUAGUUAUGUGACAACUUCACCUGAAUCACCUCUACCUGAAUCCAGGUGAGACCUGGAAACAGACACCCUGUGUUGUGGUCAGCCACAACACCCGAUUGGUAGGUCCCUCGAUGUUGGAUUCAAUCUGGACAAUGGGGUGCAGUCCAAACGGAUGAAGGGACCUAUAUAUGCCCAUGCACGUGACCCAGAGCUUCCUCUUUCGGUGCGUGCAUUUGGAACACCCACCCACCUCUCCCUACUUUUAGGGCUUGCUGCACUUGACCUUGCUAUGCCAUCACCUGUUGUCUGAAAUUGGGACAGGGGCACGGCAGGAAUUUUCCCUACUUGGCUGAUUGGCUGGUGCCAUUUAGGUUUCGCCUGCUGCGUAGCAAAUUGUCACAACUUGUAAGGUUGCGGAUAGGCACUGGCUCAGGUGAUAGGGAUGGGAGAACGCUCUUACCAUCCCUAUGUGAAGGGUAUUCCGUUAAAGGAAUCCAGGGACUCCAAACUACGAGAGAAGGACAAUCGUGACUUUAAAGUAGGAUGGGAACUUUUUAUAAUCUAUUUAAAAAGGCACAAAAGAACUUGGACUCCUUGGCAGGUUCUGAAUAAACAUUCACAAUUUAUUAGGAGAACAUAGGAUAGAUAAGGUACAAAUUUAUAACAUGCAGAGAAUAACAUGUGCAAAUAAACCAGAGGGGGUAGCUGCGGGAAG